AAAAAAAAAAACAAGAAACGAGAAACACGUAUGAACUACAUACAAAGACGACAACUACUGUACAUCGGAUUCCUGACUUAGGACAGGUGCAAACAUUUGCAGCGGGAUUAAACGUUUUAAGGGUACCAAACCGUCUCCUUUUUCUGAAACAAUAGUAUAACAUCACAAAAUAGAAGACAUCACUAUAAAAUAUCAAUUGGAAGGCUUAAAUCAAUCAAAUAAUCGCAAAUUAACAC
Molecule: long non-coding RNA, 236 nt
Filed under: Mytilus galloprovincialis (Mediterranean mussel)
Lineage: Eukaryota; Metazoa; Mollusca; Bivalvia; Mytilida; Mytilidae
Source: RNAcentral